RNAcentral lists this small RNA (392 nucleotides) under Drosophila pseudoobscura pseudoobscura. Its description in RNAcentral is "GA30957". The record is from RNAcentral. Lineage: Eukaryota; Metazoa; Arthropoda; Insecta; Diptera; Drosophilidae.
AAUUGCAAUGCUCUUUACUGGAAAGCUGUUUCGAAAUGACCUUUUACAAUAUUUGGGAAUAUUAUUAGACGCAUAAGAACGUCUCAGGCACACAACCUAUAUUUCGAACGUAUGUAGAACUCAAGAGUAAGAAACCAAAAGAAACUCAGGAAUCGGGAAUCAGGAAGGGAACAAACCAAAGUUAUAAGCACUGAUAUUUUAUUUGGAAAAACAAGAUCUUUUGAAAAGGGCUGAAGGAUGUAGAAGUACCAUUGACAGACUCCCUCAACGGAUGAGACCCCGCCCUAUGAAUCGAGGCCACACAACCCAAACAACUUUGCUUGCAAAAAUGUUUACUAAAUGAAGAGACAAAUAAAUAUGUUUAGAAAAUGUUUCGAAAUCUACAAGCAAAA